CAGGUAAGGGGAAGGGAGUGUGUGUUAGAGCUGGGCUGUACUGGGACAGGUAAGGGGAAGGGAGUGUGUGUUAGAGCUGGGCUGGACUGGGACAGGUAAGGGGAAGGGAGUGUGUGUUAGAGCUGGGCUGUACUGGGACAGGUAAGGGGAAGGGAGUGUGUGUUAGAGCUGGGCUGGACUGGGACAGGUAAGGGGAAGGGAGUGUGUGUUAGAGCUGGGCUGUACUGGGACAGGUAAGGGGAAGAGAGUGAGUGUUAGAGCUGGGCUGUACUGGGACAGGUAAGGGGAAGGGAGUGUGUGUUAGAGCUGGGCUGAACUGGGACAGGUAAGGGGAAGGGAGUGUGUGUUAGAGCUGGGCUGUACUGGGACAGGUAAGGGGAAGAGAGUGAGUGUUAGAGCUGGGCUGUACUGGGACAGGUAAGGGGAAGGGAGUGUGUGUUAGAGCUGGGCUGAACUGGGACAGGUAAGGGGAAGGGAGUGUGUGUUAGAGCUGGGCUGUACUGGGACAGGUAAGGGGAAGAGAGUGAGUGUUAGAGCUGGGCUGUACUGGGACAGGUAAGGGGAAGGGAGUGUGUGUUAGAGCUGGGCUGAACUGGGACAGGUAAGGGGAAGGGAGUGUGUGUUAGAGCUGGGCUGUACUGGGACAGGUAAUGGGAAGAGAGUGAGUGUUAGAGCUGGGCUGUACUGGGACAGGUAAGGGGAAGGGAGUGUGUGUUAGAGCUGGGCUGAACUGGGACAGGUAAGGGGAAGGGAGUGUGUGUUAGAGCUGGGCUGUACUGGGACAGGUAAGGGGAAGAGAGUGAGUGUUAGAGCUGGGCUGUACUGGGACAGGUAAGGGGAAGGGAGUGUGUGUUAGAGCUGGGCUGAACUGGGACAGGUAAGGGGAAGAGAGUGUGUGUUAGAGCUGGGCUGUACUGGGACAGGUAAGGGGAAGAGAGUGAGUGUUAGAGCUGGGCUGUACUGGGACAGGUAAGGGGAAGGGAGUGUGUGUUAGAGCUGGGCUGAACUGGGACAGGUAAGGGGAAGGGAGUGUGUGUUAGAGCUGGGCUGUACUGGGACAGGUAAGGGGAAGGGAGUGUGUGUUAGAGCUGGGCUGGACUG
Long non-coding RNA from Oncorhynchus keta (chum salmon), 1101 nucleotides. RefSeq lists it as uncharacterized. Lineage: Eukaryota; Metazoa; Chordata; Actinopteri; Salmoniformes; Salmonidae. The record is from RefSeq and is a predicted model, not a curated record. The transcript is spliced from 3 exons.